GGGCCGGUAGCUCAGGCUGGAUAGAGCACUUCACUCCUAAUGAAGGGGUCGUGAGUUCAAAUCUCACCCGGCUCGC
Molecule: transfer RNA, 76 nt
Filed under: uncultured archaeon
Lineage: Archaea
Description: tRNA-Arg(cct)
Rfam family: tRNA
About the family: Transfer RNA (tRNA) molecules are approximately 80 nucleotides in length. Their secondary structure includes four short double-helical elements and three loops (D, anti-codon, and T loops).
Source: RNAcentral